UGCGGAAGGAUCAUUACUGAGUGCGGGCUGCCUCCGGGCGCCCAACCUCCCACCCGUGAAUACCUAACACUGUUGCUUCGGCGGGGAACCCCCUCGGGGGCGAGCCGCCGGGGACUACUGAACUUCAUGCCUGAGAGUGAUGCAGUCUGAGUCUGAAUAUAAAAUCAGUCAAAACUUUCAACAAUGGAUCUCUUGGUUCCGGCAUCGAUGAAGAACGCAGCGAACUGCGAUAAGUAAUGUGAAUUGCAGAAUUCAGUGAAUCAUCGAGUCUUUGAACGCACAUUGCGCCCCCUGGCAUUCCGGGGGGCAUGCCUGUCCGAGCGUCAUUGCUGCCCAUCAAGCCCGGCUUGUGUGUUGGGUCGUCGUCCCCCCCGGGGGACGGGCCCGAAAGGCAGCGGCGGCACCGUGUCCGGUCCUCGAGCGUAUGGGGCUUUGUCACCCGCUCGACUAGGGCCGGCCGGGCGCCAGCCGACGUCUCCAACCAUUUUUCUUCAGGUUGACCUCGGAUCAGGUAGGGAUACCCGCUGAACUUAAGCAUAUCAAUAAGCGGAGGA
RNAcentral lists this ribosomal RNA (554 nucleotides) under Aspergillus nidulans. Its description in RNAcentral is "partial 18S ribosomal RNA". The stretch from base 173 to 326 matches the Rfam family "5.8S ribosomal RNA". Lineage: Eukaryota; Fungi; Ascomycota; Eurotiomycetes; Eurotiales; Aspergillaceae. The record is from RNAcentral.